RNAcentral lists this microRNA precursor (103 nucleotides) under Marmota monax (woodchuck). The record is from RNAcentral. Lineage: Eukaryota; Metazoa; Chordata; Mammalia; Rodentia; Sciuridae.
AGUGGAAUAACUGGGUCAAAUGGUGAUUUCAUUCCAUGUUUUCUGAGGAAUCUCCAUACUGCUUUCCAGAGUGGUUGCACCAGUUUGCAGUCCCACAAGCAAU